CUUCCUUGUGAGGAAUUGUAUAACUGUAUCCAACAAAGUCUGGAGAUGAAUAUGUGGAUAUGUAAUUUGCAACACUGUCAACCAAAAGAGGCAGAUAAAUUCCAUUAAAACCAACUGACUUAAAUGCUGCAUUGUAGAGAUGAGGACUUUUGCUGUGACCAAUAGGAUUUCCAAUAACACCAUGUAUUUUGGUAUCAGCUCCUAUCUGUCUGAUAUUAUACAAAUCCAACAGAUCUUUAAUGGUUGGCUGCCCAGGAGCAGAUACUACUCCUGCCUCAAUUGAACCAAAGGUGAGAAAUCCUCCAUAUUUUGCGGCAAGUACCCUUGAUAUGAAGCCUCUCUCACCCAUAACAAGUCCUAU
This 361-nucleotide unclassified non-coding RNA is filed under the name Hevea brasiliensis (rubber tree). Lineage: Eukaryota; Viridiplantae; Streptophyta; Magnoliopsida; Malpighiales; Euphorbiaceae. The record is from RNAcentral.